Long non-coding RNA from Homo sapiens (human), 792 nucleotides. RefSeq lists it as uncharacterized. The transcript is spliced from 2 exons. NCBI's taxonomy places the organism in Eukaryota, Metazoa, Chordata, Mammalia, Primates, Hominidae. The record is from RefSeq and is a predicted model, not a curated record.
GGGGUCUCGCUGUCGCGAUCUCGGCUCACUGCAACCUUCGACUCCUGGGUUCAAGUGAUUCUUCUGCCUCAGCCUCCUGAGUAGCUGGGAUUACGGACGUACACCACCAUGCCUGGCUAAUUUUUGUAUGUUAGUAGAGAUGGGGUUUUAUCAUGUUGGCCAGGCUGAUCUCAAACUCCUGGCCUCAGGUGAUCCACCCACUUCGGCCUCCCAAAGUGCUGGGACUACAGGUGUGAGUCACUGUGACCAGCCCAUAGAGGAAACUGUGCAAAGUUAUGUGCGUGAAAAACCUUCAGGAUGGAGAGAAUCAGCUGCCUACCUUGAACUACCUUGAAUAAGGCUGCCUUUGCUCUAAGAAAACCUGAAAAGUCUUCAACUAAAAGCUGAAAAGUCUUCAACUAUUACGUGAGGAUCUGCAGUUGGGGUCUAUGCUGUAGUGACUCAAGAUCACUGAUAGAACUUAAAGUCUAAUUUUUUUUUCAGUUAGGUGCAUCCCGAUACAGAAAUAGUGAAGAGUAUUUUAGCUAGGACCCAAAAUUGCCAAGGUUCUUGGAACUUCACAAAGGUCAAAGCUUGAACUGUGUCUGAAGAGGGUAUCAGAAUGUAUCUUUAUUCAGUACCAUAGACUAAGAAAGAAAAACAACUUUAUUUGUACGUUAUAUGAGGAAUCCUCCUCAUGAUCUCACAUUUGUUAUCUUAGUUCCGUUUCCUCAACAAUGCUGUGACCCAGUGUGGAUUCCCAUGGAUCUUAUUGAAAAUGCUUAUUAAAACUGCUACUUGACAGAAACUUUA